Molecule: ribosomal RNA, 301 nt
Filed under: uncultured bacterium
Lineage: Bacteria
Description: partial 16S ribosomal RNA
Rfam family: Bacterial small subunit ribosomal RNA
Source: RNAcentral
CAGUCGCCACGGGAAUACGUAGGGUGCGAGCGUUAAUCGGAAUUACUGGGCGUAAAGCGUGCGCAGGCGGUUUUGUAAGACAGGCGUGAAAUCCCCGGGCUCAACCUGGGAAUGGCGCUUGUGACUGCAAAGCUAGAGUGCGGCAGAGGGGGAUGGAAUUCCGCGUGUAGCAGUGAAAUGCGUAGAGAUGUGGAGGAACACCGAUGGCGAAGGCAGCCCCCUGGGCCAAUACUGACGCUCAUGCACGAAAGCGUGGGGAGCAAACAGGAUUAGAUACCCCCGUAGUCCUGUCUCUUAUACC